UAAAGGUUCUGCCCUUUGUACACACCGCCCGUCGCUACUACCGAUUGAAUGGCUUAGUGAGGUGUUGGGAUUGGCUUCGGGGAGCCGGCAACGGCACCCUGUUGCUGAGAACUUCAUCAAACUUGGUCAUUUAGAGGAAGUAAAAGUCGUAACAAGGUUUCCGUAGGUGAACCUGCGGAAGGAUCAUUAUCGAUUUUUUGGUUGGGCUGUCGCUGGCCGCAAGGCAUGUGCACGCCUGGCUCAUCCACUCUCAACUUCUGUGCACUAUCGCAUGUAAGGUUGGCUUUGUGACGGAGGCUGGCUUCGCGGCUGGUCGUCGUUGUAUCGCUGCCUUGCGUGUUUCUUACUACAAACGCUUCAGUUAUAGAAUGUCUUUAUUUGCGGAUAACGCAACUAUAUACAACUUUCAGCAACGGAUCUCUUGGCUCUCGCAUCGAUGAAGAACGCAGCGAAAUGCGAUAAGUAAUGUGAAUUGCAGAAUUCAGUGAAUCAUCGAAUCUUUGAACGCACCUUGCGCUCCUUGGUAUUCCGAGGAGCAUGCCUGUUUGAGUCUCAUGGAAUUCUCAACCUUGCAGUUUUGUUACUGCGAGGCUUGGACUUGGAGGUCGUGUCGGCUCUCGCGAGUCGACUCCUCUGAAAUGCAUUAGUGCGGACGUUACCGGUCGCUUCAGCGUGAUAAUUAUCUGCGCUGCCGUCGACUGGUAUGUAAAGUACGCGCUUCUAACCGUCCUUCACGGGACAACACAUNGAAACUCUGAGCUCAAAUCAGGUAGGACUACCCGCUGAACUUAAGCAUAUCAAUAAGCGGAGGAAAAGAAACUAACAAGGAUUCCCCUAGUAACUGCGAGUGAAGCGGGAAAAGCUCAAAUUUAAAUCUGGCGGUCUUCGGCCGUCCGAGUUGUAAUCUGGAGAAGCGUCUUCCGCGCUGGACCGUGUACAAGUCUCUUGGAACAGAGCGUCAUAGAGGGUGAGAAUCCCGUCUUUGACACGGACUACCAGUGCUUUGUGAUGCGCUCUCGAUGAGUCGAGUUGUUG
RNAcentral lists this ribosomal RNA (1035 nucleotides) under Polyporales sp. 1 SR-2012. Its description in RNAcentral is "eukaryotic LSU rRNA". The stretch from base 756 to 1035 matches the Rfam family "Eukaryotic large subunit ribosomal RNA", at positions 1 to 275 of the family's 3401-position model. The record is from RNAcentral. Lineage: Eukaryota; Fungi; Basidiomycota; Agaricomycetes; Polyporales.